UCGAACGAUGAAGCCUUUCGGGGUGGAUUAGUGGCGAACGGGUGAGUAACACGUGGGCAAUCUGCCCUUCACUCUGGGACAAGCCCUGGAAACGGGGUCUAAUACCGGAUAAUACUGCGGACCGCAUGGUCUGUGGUUGAAAGCUCCGGCGGUGAAGGAUGAGCCCGCGGCCUAUCAGCUUGUUGGUGAGGUAGUGGCUCACCAAGGCGACGACGGGUAGCCGGCCUGAGAGGGCGACCGGCCACACUGGGACUGAGACACGGCCCAGACUCCUACGGGAGGCAGCAGUGGGGAAUAUUGCACAAUGGGCGGAAGCCUGAUGCAGCGACGCCGCGUGAGGGAUGACGGCCUUCGGGUUGUAAACCUCUUUCAGCAGGGAAGAAGCGAGAGUGACGGUACCUGCAGAAGAAGCGCCGGCUAACUACGUGCCAGCAGCCGCGGUAAUACGUAGGGCGCAAGCGUUGUCCGGAAUUAUUGGGCGUAAAGAGCUCGUAGGCGGCUUGUCGCGUCGGUUGUGAAAGCCCGGGGCUUAACCCCGGGUCUGCAGUCGAUACGGGCAGGCUAGAGUGUGGUAGGGGAGAUCGGAAUUCCUGGUGUAGCGGUGAAAUGCGCAGAUAUCAGGAGGAACACCGGUGGCGAAGGCGGAUCUCUGGGCCAUUACUGACGCUGAGGAGCGAAAGCGUGGGGAGCGAACAGGAU
RNAcentral lists this ribosomal RNA (699 nucleotides) under Streptomyces sp. ST-940. RNAcentral's name for it is "bacterial SSU rRNA". It matches the Rfam family "Bacterial small subunit ribosomal RNA", at positions 62 to 778 of the family's 1533-position model. The record is from RNAcentral. Lineage: Bacteria; Bacillati; Actinomycetota; Actinomycetes; Kitasatosporales; Streptomycetaceae.